Molecule: long non-coding RNA, 439 nt
Filed under: Nicotiana tabacum (common tobacco)
Lineage: Eukaryota; Viridiplantae; Streptophyta; Magnoliopsida; Solanales; Solanaceae
Description: long non-coding RNA (NTAB_LNC003918)
Source: RNAcentral
AGGGAGAAAGAGAAAUCUUUCUGUCUUAAAGUGUAAUUAACAAUGGCUUCCUCAGUUCUUUCCUCUGCAGCAGUUGCCACCCGCAGCAAUGUUGCUCAAGCUAACAUGGUUGCACCUUUCACUGGCCUUAAGUCAGCUGCCUCAUUCCCUGUUUCAAGGAAGCAAAACCUUGACAUCACUUCCAUUGCCAGCAACGGCGGAAGAGUGCAAUGCAUGCAGGUAAUUUAUAUACAAUGACAGUGCAAAAAAUUUUGAUACAAUUAAUGCAUCUUAACAUGUCAUAGCUAAAAAUUCUAUUUUGGUGGAAUAUAGGUGUGGCCACCAAUUAACAAGAAGAAGUACGAGACUCUCUCAUACCUUCCUGAUUUGAGCCAGGAGCAAUUGCUUAGUGAAGUUGAGUACCUUUUGAAAAAUGGAUGGGUUCCUUGCUUGGAAUUCN